This 468-nucleotide ribosomal RNA is filed under the name uncultured bacterium. RNAcentral describes it as "partial 16S ribosomal RNA". It matches the Rfam family "Bacterial small subunit ribosomal RNA", at positions 28 to 507 of the family's 1533-position model. The record is from RNAcentral.
GACGAACGCUGGCGGCGUGCUUAACACAUGCAAGUCGAACGGAAAGGCCCUGCUUUUGUGGGGUGCUCGAGUGGCGAACGGGUGAGUAACACGUGAGUAUCCUGCCCUUGACUUUGGGAUAACUUCAGGAAACUGGGGCUAAUACCGGCUAGGAGCUCCUGCUGCAUGGUGGGGGUUGGACAGUUUCGGCGGUUGGGGAUGGACUCGCGGCUUAUCAGCUUGUUGGUGGGGUAGUGGCUUACCAAGGCUUUGACGGGUAGCCGGCCUGAGAGGGUGAACGGCCACAAGGGGACUGAGAGACGGACCAGACUCCUACGGGAGGCAGCAGUGGGGAAUAUUGCACAAUGGGCGGAAGCCUGAUGAAGAAACGCCGCGUGCGGGAUGACGGCCUUCGGGGUGUAAACCGCUGUCGCCUGUGACGAAGCGUGAGUGACGGUAAUGGGUAAAGAAGCACCGGCUAACUACGUG